AAUUCCUGAAACAAAAGACAUUGUCCCAUCAAUAUCAUCAAAUUGACAAUUCGCAGCAGCGCUAUUCACGCUCAUGUAGUAUAUUAACACAAUAAAAUGAAAGAAAAUAGCUUUAUUUCAUUCCACAAUAAUUAGAUAGAAUUUAAUUCAUUUGGUAUUUAAUAAUGAUAUUACUAGAGGAAGCGGUAUACCUAGGAAGAAAUGGAUGGAUUGCGUGAAACACGAUAUGUGUAAGAGGGGAGUGAGCGAACUAAAUGGUAUAUGACAGAGGAGUAUAGAGGGAGAAAGCAUGUUGCGCCGACUCCAGGGGACUGGGAGAAGGGCAGGAGAAUGAAAUGAAUUAUAUUACUAAAUAGCAUCUGAAGUGAACACCCUCAGGGCAAAAGCCUCCUCCAAAGAAUUCCAUUUUUCCCUAAUCUUUAGCAGUGGUCAUCCAGUCUCUUCCUGCUUUGGAUACAAUCUCGUUCUGCCACCGGGCUAUUUCUUCCGCCAUGCGGUCCUUUGCAUUUUGUGGUGUUAAUUGUCCACGGAGUGUCACCGUAUCUCCCAGCCAUGGCCAGCCCAUUCCAUUUGUAACUUUGAGAGAAGAACCCUUCCCUUUUUUUACAAAUAUCAAAUGCAGCAGAUAUUGAAGGCAUAACCCCCCCUCCCUCUUCGUUUAUAGUCUUCGAUCAACAAUAGUAACUAGUUUCGGGUCAGUGCAUAAAAUCCGUCUCGUCAAAUAACAGCGCACUUGAAAUGUGAGCUCUUAUUUUGUUUAGUUCACUUCAAACACAGCCAAUGUCAACCCGUCUCACAAUACCGCAGUGUGUAUUCAAAAGUUGCAAAAAUAAGGCCCGAAAAAGCAAUUUAACGGCCGGAAUAUCUUACUUUCGCUUUCCUAGCAAUCACGUGUGCAGAAUGGAUCUCGAUUGUCGCCAGAGAAACAAGAGAUGACUUUUAUAAGCCAGCUAAGAUCUUCGCUUAUUGACACUGGACAUCUUUGCCUUCCGUGCUCACGGCUACUGAAACGUGGCCGAAACAUUGUAAUAAAAAUACCACGCUUGAAACCGUUUAAA
Bombyx mori (domestic silkworm) is the source of this 1058-nucleotide long non-coding RNA. RefSeq lists it as uncharacterized. The record is from RefSeq and is a predicted model, not a curated record. The transcript has 2 exons. NCBI's taxonomy places the organism in Eukaryota, Metazoa, Arthropoda, Insecta, Lepidoptera, Bombycidae.